AGCUUUGCACAGAGGCAGUAUUGUAGCCUAUGAAUUUAUCUGAGGUAUGAUUAUUGCUAAUUGAAAACUCUUGGAAAAGUUUUCAAUUAGC
This is a small nuclear RNA of Ictidomys tridecemlineatus (thirteen-lined ground squirrel), 91 nucleotides long. Its record names the gene U4. It matches the Rfam family "U4 spliceosomal RNA". From Rfam's summary of the family: U4 small nuclear RNA (U4 snRNA) is a component of the major U2-dependent spliceosome. The structure of U4 snRNA from yeast and human has been reported. Lineage: Eukaryota; Metazoa; Chordata; Mammalia; Rodentia; Sciuridae. The record is from Ensembl.